Molecule: long non-coding RNA, 610 nt
Organism: Lutra lutra (Eurasian river otter)
Lineage: Eukaryota; Metazoa; Chordata; Mammalia; Carnivora; Mustelidae
Exons: 4
Source: RefSeq, a predicted model, not a curated record
CCGGGGCGAGCAGCGCUAGAACCCGGGUUGGGCGGGCAGCCGGCCUUCGGGGAUGACGCGGCAGUGCGGCCUCCCUGCUCUCCCGCGCCUUCCGGCGGAGGUGCGCACGCGGCCCCGUGGUCCUGGGUUCCCCGGUGGAGUCGUCGGUCUGCGCCCAGGACUGCGAUCCGGGUCCGGGGCUGCCGCGCGGUUUGGGUGCGGAUUGUGUUUGGCCAGGGAAAACACUCGAUUGUACAGAGGUGAGAAGGGAGGAAACCAGACUACUGAAAUGAAGACAGAAGAAAGAUCUGGGGACUUAGACCACACAUUCACCUGGGAUGGCACUGAAGGAGGGACCGUAGCAGGUCAUGGGAGUCACUUGGAGGACCAGACACUUGACGGUUCCCUGUGACGGCAGAGGUUGUGGGCUCUACAGAGGGGCUGUUUGUCUCCCAGAAGAGCUUCCUUUUGGUCAGUCAGGCCGUGAUUUAAGACAGUAACGUGACCUCUUUGUCAAGAGCAGAGCUGAAUGGGAACCUUCAUCAAAUCACCAAUGUUGACUUCACCAGCCGCAAAUGUGUAGCCUCCUUUUAUUUGGUCUUGACUGCUCAUUCCCAUUCCCUCACUUUGC